UUUAAAGUUAGUUUUGGUGUUUUGAUUCAUUUGAUUGUUCGUCAACGGGUGCAGCUAGGAACAGUGUGAAGUCCAAAUAAAUAAGGUUCUAGAAUGGAUGGUUAUCUUCUUCUUCUUUUUGGGUUUUUGUAUAGUCAAGUGCAACACCUUUGAGGACCUGCAUCAUAUUUGCAUAAUUAGCAGCGGUAUCCCGAUACAUUGAGUCAAUAACCGAGUUCUUCGUCAUGCCACCCAAAACAAUGAGGGAUGGAUCCUCUUAGGUUGUUGUGUGCCAGAUCCAAAAUUUGAAGUCUGAAAGAUUUGCACAAAGAGUGAGGAAUUCUUCCGGUGAAAUUAUUCUUAUGCAACCUAAGAGCAAUUAAUUUAAUUUCUCCGAUCCAUUCAGGCUUAACAGCGCGUAAAUGCAGCACAAUGACCAUUCAAGCUGGAAAACGGGUAUUACAAGGCAAUACGGAGUGAGGAAGCGGAAAUGCUGGAAAAUAUACUCCCUCGCGCCACGCGAGGGAGUCUAUGUAAGGUGUCGCGUGGCGCGACAGGUGAAAGUCAACGAGCAGUCAAACCAUACUCCCUCGCGCCACGCGAGGGAGUCCAUGUGAGCUGUAACGUGGCGCGGCAGUGGUACAGCGCGGAAAAGUGUGAUUUUAACCUAGUUCGAGAGAAAACGUGGAUUAUUGAAUACACAGCCGCCAGAGGACGUUUUGGAGGACUUUUGGGCGAUUUCUUUUCAUCAUCUUCAAUCUUCCAAGCAACCUGCUCAUGUUUAAUCAAUUUCUGGCAGAUUCUGAAGCAACAAUGACCAUGAUGCGCGGCUAAUUCGCUUGUAACUUCUACUCGGAUGAACUUUUGCUUAGUUUUGCAUUGAAUUUUGUUUACGGAUUCUUGUAACUGGUACAGCUUGACCACUCGUGUUGGAUUCUUGGUAAACGUUCAUUGUGUUUGAAUUAUUUGUCGUUUA
Molecule: long non-coding RNA, 955 nt
Filed under: Helianthus annuus (common sunflower)
Lineage: Eukaryota; Viridiplantae; Streptophyta; Magnoliopsida; Asterales; Asteraceae
Source: RNAcentral